Molecule: long non-coding RNA, 522 nt
Organism: Gambusia affinis (western mosquitofish)
Lineage: Eukaryota; Metazoa; Chordata; Actinopteri; Cyprinodontiformes; Poeciliidae
Exons: 3
Source: RefSeq, a predicted model, not a curated record
CGCAGGUGGAGAAAACCCGACAAAGACUUAAUGGCAGAGGUAGUAAAACUCAGUGCGUCACCCCAGACAUUUUUUGAGGUACUCUAGAGUUGUACUUCAGGUCUGUAAGGUUAUUAGCGGGAAACUACGGAUAAAUCAACGAUCAAUCCCAAGAGGAAAAAUGAUGAGGGACAAAGUCUGGUUGGACGUGUGAAGCUGUGUCGGACACAUUUUGUACUACGGAAAAUGCCCCCAAAGGUUACUCUCAUAAUUACACCCGUUUUAUCUAAGAGGGAAGCGUGUCACAAAUCCAAUUCUGGUGAGAAAGAGGGACAUCCAACCUGCAGAUGAAAAUGAGGUGCCUCCAGAACUGCAACAACAUACUUGUCCUAGAGGGAAUGAGUUUCUCAGUCAACAAGUCAAAUCCUUCCAACCUCUUCAAACAAUAAUCAUCCCAUGGGAGAUCCAGCAGCUUCCUGUAAAGAGAUCCAUGUUUCCCCCCCAAAGUCUCGCUCAGAAACAUUUCUUUCACCAGGCUGGUUU